UAGAAUCGGCUUUGUCAGAUU
This 21-nucleotide non-coding RNA is filed under the name Caenorhabditis elegans. The record is from RNAcentral. Lineage: Eukaryota; Metazoa; Nematoda; Chromadorea; Rhabditida; Rhabditidae.